RNAcentral lists this ribosomal RNA (432 nucleotides) under uncultured bacterium. RNAcentral describes it as "partial 16S ribosomal RNA". It matches the Rfam family "Bacterial small subunit ribosomal RNA", at positions 29 to 506 of the family's 1533-position model. The record is from RNAcentral.
AACGAACGCUGGCGGCAGGCCUAACACAUGCAAGUCGAGCGCGCCCUUCGGGGUGAGCGGCGGACGGGGGAGUAACGCGUGGGAACGUGCCCUUUUCUACGGAAUAGCCUCGGGAAACUGAGAGUAAUACCGUAUACGCCCUUUGGGGGAAAGAUUUAUCGGAAAAGGAUCGGCCCGCGUUGGAUUAGGUAGUUGGUGGGGUAAUGGCCUACCAAGCCGACGAUCCAUAGCUGGUUUGAGUGGACGAUCAGCCACACUGGGACUGAGACACGUCCCAGACUCCUACGGGAGGCAGCAGUGGGGAAUCUUAGACAAUGGGGGCAACCCUGAUCUAGCCAUGCCGUGUGAGUGAUGAAGGCCUUAGGGUUGUAAAGCUCUUUCAGCUGGGAAGAUAAUGACGGUACCAGCAGAAGAAGCCCCGGCUAACUCCGG